ACGAACGCUGGCGGCGUGCCUAAUACAUGCAAGUUGAGCGCUGAAGGUUGGUACUUGUACCAACUGGAUGAGCAGCGAACGGGUGAGUAACGCGUGGGGAAUCUGCCUUUGAGCGGGGGACAACAUUUGGAAACGAAUGCUAAUACCGCAUAAAAACUUUAAACACAAGUUUUAAGUUUGAAAGAUGCAAUUGCAUCACUCAAAGAUGAUCCCGCGUUGUAUUAGCUAGUUGGUGAGGUAAAGGCUCACCAAGGCGAUGAUACAUAGCCGACCUGAGAGGGUGAUCGGCCACAUUGGGACUGAGACACGGCCCAAACUCCUACGGGAGACAGCAGUAGGGAAUCUUCGGCAAUGGACGAAAGUCUGACCGAGCAACGCCGCGUGAGUGAAGAAGGUUUUCGGAUCGUAAAACUCUGUUGGUAGAGAAGAACGUUGGUGAGAGUGGAAAGCUCAUCAAGUGACGGUAACUACCCAGAAAGGGACGGCUAACUACGUG
RNAcentral lists this ribosomal RNA (496 nucleotides) under uncultured bacterium. Its description in RNAcentral is "partial 16S ribosomal RNA". It matches the Rfam family "Bacterial small subunit ribosomal RNA", at positions 29 to 507 of the family's 1533-position model. The record is from RNAcentral.